This 23-nucleotide small nuclear RNA is filed under the name Arabidopsis thaliana (thale cress). Its description in RNAcentral is "snRNA_11060". Lineage: Eukaryota; Viridiplantae; Streptophyta; Magnoliopsida; Brassicales; Brassicaceae. The record is from RNAcentral.
UCGGAUUUUACCCGAUCGGAUUU